CAGACCUCUGAUCAGGA
Molecule: ribosomal RNA, 17 nt
Filed under: Grimmia pulvinata
Lineage: Eukaryota; Viridiplantae; Streptophyta; Bryopsida; Grimmiales; Grimmiaceae
Description: partial 26S ribosomal RNA
Source: RNAcentral